RNAcentral lists this ribosomal RNA (425 nucleotides) under uncultured bacterium. RNAcentral describes it as "partial 16S ribosomal RNA". It matches the Rfam family "Bacterial small subunit ribosomal RNA", at positions 354 to 796 of the family's 1533-position model. The record is from RNAcentral.
GUGGGGAAUAUUGGACAAUGGGCGCAAGCCUGAUCCAGCCAUGCCGCGUGAGUGAUGAAGGCCUUAGGGUUGUAAAGCUCUUUCAGUGGGGACGAUAAUGACGGUACCCACAGAAGAAGCCCCGGCUAACUUCGUGCCAGCAGCCGCGGUAAUACGAAGGGGGCUAGCGUUGUUCGGAUUUACUGGGCGUAAAGCGCACGUAGGCGGAUCGUUAAGUCGGGGGUGAAAUCCUGGAGCUCAACUCCAGAACUGCCUUCGAUACUGGCGAUCUUGAGUCCGGAAGAGGUGAGUGGAACUCCUAGGGUAGAGGUGGAAUUCGUAGAUAUUAGGAAGAACACCAGUGGCGAAGGCGGCUCACUGGUCCGGUACUGACGCUGAGGUGCGAAAGCGUGGGGAGCAAACAGGAUUAGAAACCCCAGUAGUCC